Molecule: transfer RNA, 74 nt
Filed under: Bacteroidales bacterium
Lineage: Bacteria; Pseudomonadati; Bacteroidota; Bacteroidia; Bacteroidales
Description: tRNA-Pro
Rfam family: tRNA
About the family: Transfer RNA (tRNA) molecules are approximately 80 nucleotides in length. Their secondary structure includes four short double-helical elements and three loops (D, anti-codon, and T loops).
Source: RNAcentral
CGGGGUGUAGCGCAGUUGGCUAGCGCGCCACGUUCGGGACGUGGAGGACGGAAGUUCGAGUCUUCUCACCCCGA